RNAcentral lists this ribosomal RNA (478 nucleotides) under uncultured bacterium. Its description in RNAcentral is "bacterial SSU rRNA". It matches the Rfam family "Bacterial small subunit ribosomal RNA", at positions 501 to 981 of the family's 1533-position model. The record is from RNAcentral.
CUACGUGCCAGCAGCCGCGGUAAUACGGAAGGUCCAGGCGUUAUCCGGAUUUAUUGGGUUUAAAGGGAGCGUAGGCUGGAGAUUAAGUGUGUUGUGAAAUGUAGACGCUCAACGUCUGACUUGCAGCGCAUACUGGUUUCCUUGAGUACGCACAACGUUGGCGGAAUUCGUCGUGUAGCGGUGAAAUGCUUAGAUAUGACGAAGAACUCCGAUCGCGAAGGCAGCUUUCCGUUUCGGAACUGACGCUGAGGCUCGAAAGUGCGGGUAUCGAACAGGAUUAGAUACCCUGGUAGUCCGCACGGUAAACGAUGGAUGCUCGCUGUUGGAUAUUUUUAUUCAGUGGCUAAGUGAAAACGUUAAGCAUCCCACCUGGGGAGUACGCCGGCAACGGUGAAACUCAAAGGAAUUGACGGGGGCCCGCACAAGCGGAGGAACAUGUGGUUUAAUUCGAUGAUACGCGAGGAACCUUACCCGGGCU